This 492-nucleotide ribosomal RNA is filed under the name uncultured bacterium. RNAcentral's name for it is "partial 16S ribosomal RNA". It matches the Rfam family "Bacterial small subunit ribosomal RNA", at positions 29 to 507 of the family's 1533-position model. The record is from RNAcentral.
AGUGAACACUGGCGGUAGGCCUAACACAUGCAAGUCGAACGGCAGCACAGUAAGAGCUUGCUCUUACGGGUGGCGAGUGGCGGACGGGUGAGGAAUACAUCGGAAUCUACUUUUUCGUGGGGGAUAACGUAGGGAAACUUACGCUAAUACCGCAUACGACCUACGGGUGAAAGCAGGGGAUCUUCGGACCUUGCGCGAUUGAAUGAGCCGAUGUCGGAUUAGCUAGUUGGCGGGGUAAAGGCCCACCAAGGCGACGAUCCGUAGCUGGUCUGAGAGGAUGAUCAGCCACACUGGAACUGAGACACGGUCCAGACUCCUACGGGAGGCAGCAGUGGGGAAUAUUGGACAAUGGGCGCAAGCCUGAUCCAGCCAUACCGCGUGGGUGAAGAAGGCCUUCGGGUUGUAAAGCCCUUUUGUUGGGAAGGAAAAGCAGCAGGUUAAUACCCCGCUGUUCUGACGGUACCCAAAGAAUAAGCACCGGCUAACUUCGUG